AUACCAAAAAUGACCCUAGACGGAAUUUACCGUUUUAGGUAAGAAAUCGACGAUCAAGGAUUUUGGUGAAUAAAAUCGAUAUUAAAAAUAGUAAUAACUGAAAAAUGUAUUUGAAAUAAUUUUUAUAAAUCUAAGACAUGAUGCUUUUUAUGAAUUUAUGUUAGUAUGUGAAUGGAAUAAAUAGAAAUUAGAAUAUACAUGAUAGUUAAAUAGAGAAAUAAACUAGUAGUAAUUAGUUUAAACAAAACUAAUCCUAGUUACCUAAACUAAAAGUUCCGUUUAUUUGCUAUCAAUUAGGCAUGGCUUGGCUACAAUAUUUAAUUUAGUCUAGAAACUAAAGAAAAUUCUAGAAAAAAAAAUGAGCUCUCAAGUGUAUUACUAAAAUAUUGCCAUGUGUUUAAUUAAGUACCACAUAUUAGAAUAUCUUGUUGAAGCUAGUAUAUAUAUAUAUAUAUAUAUAAGGAAAAUAAAAUAUCUGGGGGAUAGCCUUACAUUUUGGGAGAAGAAGGGACGGCCGUGGCCAUUGAUGAGUCUCCGAGUUUUUAUCUUCGAUUUUAUGUCGAAAUUUCAAUCUGAUCGCGUAAAACCUAAUAAAUCGAGUAAGCCCUAUCUAUCUAUCCUAGUUGUAUAUGCUGAAGUUCAGUAUUUUUUUUAAGUUAUAAAAUUUGAAAUAGUUGAUUAAGAUGGGGAUGUUUUAGUAUGCGAAUUUAUGUUUGAUAAUUUGUCAGAUACUUUACGUUUAGAUGUCAGCAAGCAUGUUUUGAUUGCUAUUUUGAAAGUUUAUAAAUCUUGCCUUGAUUAUCAUGAAAUGACAGAAUGCAGGGGGUUGUUUUAAUGUUGAAUUUGGUUGGGUUUUAUCUUGUUAGAAUGGAGAUAAACGUUAUAUGAUGCGCAGAAAUGUGUUUAGGAUCGAAAAACAAAACUAAAAGAAGUUCAGGUUGAAAUUAGGAAAAGGGGUCGAACUGAUCAGCCAUGGUUCAAUAAGUAGUGAUUUUAUUUUGAUAAUUCUAAUAUUGGAUUUGGAUUCUAGAUCGUCGAUAACGUCCAUAAUGAGUCUACUGGAAUUUUUUAGACGUUGUUUAGUUGGUUUUUAUAUUUUAAGUGAAUAUAUAUUAUAAAUGAUGAUAUAAAGAAUGUGUAUAAUUGAUAUGAACUGCUUGUGAGUAGUACAUAAGGCUGAUGAUUAUCAUCGGUGGUCGCAAAGAUAGGAUAAUAACCGGAAGAGAAAAACUAUGCGAAGAGACGGAAAAGUAAAGGUGGUAAAAUGACUUAUGCUCAUAAGUCUAUCAGGUAGCAUACUCAACACUUUCUCUUAUGUGCUUUAUGUGUUUAUAUGCGAAUAUGUAACUCGUGAACUUGAUGAAUUAUGAUUAAUUAUGGAAGAAGAGACUUACGAAGUAAACUAUGAGGAUAUAAUGAAUUGUUGAAUGAGUUGAUAAUGAAAGAUAAAAAGGGAAGAGAAUGAUUGUGACUGUGAAGAUGGUUAUAUAAAUGUGGAAAUGAGCGUUAAGGUGAAUGUGAUAAAUGAUAUAUAUUGAUGAGAUGCAUACAAAUAUGAUUAAAUGUGAUGAUGUCUGAUCUAUUUGUCUGUGUUGAUGGGAAUCUGGGAUGGUUUUGAGAGUGUUGGAAUUUAAUCUGUUUAUUUGAUAUGAUAUGGUGUGAAAAGAAGUUGUUGAUAUGAUAUGUUAAAAAUUAUCGGAAAUAAGUAAUUUGAUGAGAAAAUGAAUAUAAUUGUGGUUGUAAAGUUAAUGAGAUAAAUGUGGAAGUGAGCAUUAAGGUAAAUGAGAUAAAUGAUAUAUGCCUCUGAAAUGUAUACACUUAUAUGAUUCACAUAUGAAGAUGUCUGAUGAUGUCUGUGAUGAUGUCUGAUCUGUAUGCGUUGAUGUGCUAUGUCGGAAAUUGUCAGAUAUAAAGUAUAUUUGAUUGUGUUUACGCCCCGUGCUUGAGUGUGUUCUGUGGGUACAAUUGGCAUGCCAUAAGACAGCAGCGCUGCAUUAUCUGUGAUCUCUCGUCUUCUGGAUAACCGAAGCGAGGAUCGUCUGCUAUCUGAUGGGCCCCUAUCUGAUCUGUCUGAUAUACACCCUAUGGGUGGUCUGUUCCCGGGAUUAUCUGUCUGUACCCUAAUGGGUAGUCUGUGCGGCGUCCUCUUGAGGACCAUGACCGCGUCUGUAUCCGAUUCUGUUUCUGAUCUGGUCCGCGUACCCUAGUCUGUCACUAAGCACUUAAUGGGGCUAUCUAUGUGUUUGGAUAUGUGAAAAUGUGGUUGGUUUGUAUAUGUGCUAUGUGUGUUGGUAUGUGAUAUUGCGUUGUAUAUAUCACGUGGAAUACUUGAUGCUAUGGAAAUGUUGAUGAUUGUUGAUAUGUUCUGCGAUUGAUAUUGUCUGUUGCUGGAUUCUGGGCAUGGGUUGGUCAUAAGGGAGAUGCUGCCCAAAUUAUGUUGAACAUAAAUAAAAUGAUAAUAUGAUAGACGUGUUAAUUAUUUUUUUUAAAUAAAUGAAUAAGAGUUUAAAGAAUUUUUGUUAAGUUGCAUGAUUAUUGCUUGUAGAGAAUUUUGGCUAAAGUGUUGAGUGUGCUACAGGUUAGUUGGCAUUGGAGAGUACUAGUUGAGGUUUCUUACUGUCCGUCUCAGCACUGCAUCCUUGACGGGUCACUGAGCUCUGUUACCGAUAGAUCUUUCGAAUGGUUAGUUGUGGCAUGUUGGCACUAAAUAUUAUACUAAGCUACUUCCGUUGUAAUUGUAAAUAUUAGAUAAUGAUUUUAAUAUUUAGUUUUGGCUGGAAAAAAAGAAAUAAUGAAAAUUUUAAAUUACCAUAUUUUAUAGUACCGGAAUUGUGACAUCACCUACUCGGUCGGCGGACGAUCGGGUCGGGGGUGUUACAUUUUUUGGUAUCAGAGCCAGGUUUAGGCGUUCCUAGGCUUCUGGUUGGGUUAAAGUUUGUUUAAACACAUGCCACAUAGAAUAUUGAGUCGUUAUCACUAUCAGUGACCCGAUGCAGCUGCUACCAUAUGUUGAUAUAGAAGUUUGUCAAAUGGAGACUUGACACACUAUAUAUAGUACAGGAUUGGAAUUCCCGUGUGACUGAGAAAAUGGUUGUAUGGGACUGGCCACCCCAUAUAACUUGAAUCUCGAUAGCGUCAUUAUCGGACAAAAAGGUUUAUCAGUCGAGUGAAAUAAGUUUAGAAAGGACGAUAAGAAUGUGUUUUGUUACAUGAGAUUGGGGGAAUCUAUGUUAUAACUCUGAUAUAUCAUGAGAUUUGGUAUAUGAGAUAAAUUGGUUAUAUGUGAUUCUGUGAGUUUUGAUAUGAGUGUUGGCAGUUUAAACUUGUUUACAUGAAUUGACAAUGCAUGUGAAGUUCUUUAUUAGUGCACACUCAGUUAAACUCUGCUAUAAGUCUCAUGAAGUCUGAAUGCAGACGAUAAUUUGGUUGCCAAAACGGGUAUGUAGAAUAGAUUGUUAUUGAAUAAAUAACUACCAUCGAGGAAGAUAACAACAACUCAAUAGAUUAUUUAUGUGGCUAGCAAAACGUGUCUUAAUUUUGGAAAUCUUGUUAUAAGGUAUGAGUACACUAACAAGCUUAUUCACUUGAUGCACCACUGACUUAAUGACUCAUCUUUGCCUCAAUAAUUUUCUCAAUUAUGUGAACCGCAUAAAUCAAUUUCUGGGUCUUGUUAGUUAAUAUUUCUCGUGCGUCUACAGUAGAAAGUCAUGCCUUGAUUGAUUUUCUUGCAUCUCAAUCACCUUGUUUAGGAUCAUCUGUUUUGACUUGCAAGGAGGCAAUGUGUCUCUGUACCUAUUCCUUCUAUAAUGUGUAUGUUUUGAUAUUAUUCCGUAUUCUUACCUAUUGGGGCUAUCAGAGUAUUUUUUUUAAUUAUCUAAUAUUAGUUUAUGCGACCAAAAAUUUAUAUUAAAGAUAAAUUGAUCUGUCUCUUCUGUAAGUUGGUUAUAAGAUUCCGUCUCUCCGUCUUUCGAAGCUUACCUUUCUAAUUUGAAUUAGCUUGGAAAUUUACUUUACUUGCAUAAUCUAAGUUUGGAUUGUGAGAAAAAUGUGUUUUAGGUAAAGGAUGUUUUGGGACAACCUAUAGUUAAAUGUAAAACUUGAUGAUUUUUACAUACUUUGAUUACAGAUGUUCACAACGAGCUGAACAUGGAAUUUUAAUGUAAUUAUUGGGAUGAUUAUAUAGUUGGAUUAUCUUAGAUAGUAUGAAUUUUGAAAUAUACAAGUAGAAUUAUGUGUGGUGAAAGAAACAGAGGAUAAAGCUUUUGUGACAUGUUCUGGCGGAGUUUAUCCGACUUCAGUUAACCAAGUAAACAAUCUCAUUCUCUUACCAAAUUUUAACUGAACAUGCUUUUAUAUGUCUUCUGUCAUGUGACCAAAUUUCAGCUUUAACCAAGUUCAAAUGAAUUAAUAAUGGUUUUUGUAAGGGAACUGCCCUGUUCUGCCAGGUUUGGGUAAAAUACACAUUUAUGGCUUAUAUUUUUCAUCUAGUUAUGUUGAAUUUUGACUUGGUGGUUGUCCGGACUGGAUUUUCAAAAUCAGUACAUUUUCUGUAGGAAUCUUGGGACAUGACAAUAGUUGAAUUGCUUAUGUUUUAACCUUAUCACUUUUGAACAAGUGUAUGAGGAUGUGGUUGUUAAUGUGAGAUCUGGAUGGAGAAAUAGUAGUGUUGACUAAUAAUGUCUUGUAGGAUGUAUGCAUAAAUAAUGGACCACAAUUACGAAAUUAAGUUAGAAAUUAAUGUUUAGUAGAUAGACACUAAUGGCAUGGAUUAAGUGAAUAAAUAGGUUUUUUUGGAUGACAUAUGAAUUUUAUACUUUCUAUAUGAAGGUAAUAUAUAUUGAAAGGUAACAGGACAUAACAAGGACAAGGAGCAUGGAUAAAGUGAUUCAUAUGUCAAAGGUGUUUAGCAUUUUGAGGUUAGUUGGCAUUGGAGAGUACUAGUUGAGGUUUCUUACUGUCCGUCUCAGCACUGCAUCCUUGACGGGUCACUGAGCUCUGUUACCGAUAGAUCUUUCGAAUGGUUAGUUGUGGCAUGUUGGCACUAAAUAUUAUACUAAGCUACUUCCGUUGUAAUUGUAAAUAUUAGAUAAUGAUUUAAAUAUUUAGUUUUGGCUGGAAAAAAAGAAAUAAUGAAAAUUUUAAAUUACCAUA
Molecule: long non-coding RNA, 5151 nt
Organism: Salvia splendens (bonfire salvia)
Lineage: Eukaryota; Viridiplantae; Streptophyta; Magnoliopsida; Lamiales; Lamiaceae
Exons: 2
Source: RefSeq, a predicted model, not a curated record